Myotis myotis is the source of this 2969-nucleotide long non-coding RNA. RefSeq lists it as uncharacterized. NCBI's taxonomy places the organism in Eukaryota, Metazoa, Chordata, Mammalia, Chiroptera, Vespertilionidae. The record is from RefSeq and is a predicted model, not a curated record. The transcript has 3 exons.
CAAGCAGGGCCUCUGUGCAGUGACUCCCCAGGAGAGACGCUCUCAGAAAAAGAGCCGAACACAGACCUUCUCCCGGCGUCUGGAAGCGCCACCUCCCACGGUGGAAAUGAAGGUGUUCCGGAAGCACCUGCUUUCAAAGGACCAAAGUCCAAAGCAACAUUGAAUCAACUGAUACUGGCGGGGGGACUUAGAAUCUGAUAGAUAGAGCACCUAAUUAAUCUGAAAAAUAAUGAUAUUAUUUUAAGUCUUAGAACACAUAUACUUACGUGAAUAGGGGGUUAAGUUUUUCUCAAGUUUCCUUUUCAAGGCCUGUGUGAAGCAAUUAGGGAGGUGACUCAGCUGUGAAUCCAGCAGGCAGAACCGCUAAGCAUGGUCAGACCGACCGAGCAAGAGUCAAAACAUCAUCUUGUCAACCUCAUCUCAUCGCCUGGUGACUAAAGACAGUGGCUGAGGUCUGCAGACCUCCAGGGCUGCACCUAGCUGCAUUCCGUCCCCAGCCUCACCCCCCCACCCCCCCUUUAUAAUUCUGUCCCCUGCACCUUGUGGUAAGAUAGGAUUUGAAUGUUUGUAAGCACCCAAUCUUCUUGGUUGGCUGGCCUUCUCAAUAAACACCUUAUAUGACUCAAUCCUGCCUUCCUUACUGGACACAGGGAGAGGCAGCCCGAGCCCGACCAGGGGUUUCUCGGUAACAUAUUUUGGCCACUCAACAGGACACCCUCCUCUGAGCCCUAGGGUAAGACCCUGCGGGGAGUGCCCAAGGGCUGGGCGGCUGCCUGGACUUGGGAAACGUCUUGCAGGCACCUGUGGAAACUCCCCGGCAGCUGCUGAGUGUUUAACUCGGGGACUUUCCUUAAGUGCUUACAAACUUCCCGGCGCCUUCGCUACUGGUUAAAUCGGCAUUCUUUCUGUGUGCCUGUUCUCGGACAAAAGUCAGUUUCCAGUUGUGGUUUUAUUAACCAAAACUUUACUGGAAUGUCAUGUCUGAGAGAGACAGGCCAGGACUCUGGGUGUCACCAGAAGCUCUGAGGAAUGAAGACUGACUCUGAAGCCGAUAAGCCCCUUGGAUAAAUAGCCUGGUCCCUGCCUGGUCACGUGUUCAUGGCCGUCUUUCCGGGUGAGGAAUGAAGGUUGCUUUCCUGAGAGAGAGCAAGAAGUAACCGCCAGACACCUGUGGGGACCUCCAAAACUUGAGGAAUGCACCCCAAUUCUGUUACAAGCCCUACUCGCACCUACAGAAUGCCGCCUCUAGACACCACUGCCACCUCCUUCCACGCCCAGGCCUCAUGUCCCUCUGACAGAGAGCAAGGAUCUCUUCUCUCCGAGAGAAACCUUCAUCUCCCCUCAGCAGGCAGGAGUUUCAGAAGAGACUCCAUGGCCCUUUUCCAUGAAAGAAUUCAGAGCCAAGGUCCUUGAGGGGUGUGGGGGGCAGUUAGGCAUGAGCAGAGCAAGGGCGCUGGGCCAAUCGGAGGAGAAGUGGAUGGGCCCUGAGACGUGCUUCUCACCACACCAGCUGCUCUGAAGCUGGCAAUGGAGGAACCUGUGUAGAACUGACCUUUACAUUUUGCUGAGUAGGAGUUGGGAUACUUAUAUGUCACCUAAAAAUAGAGGUUUCUAAGGGUUAAGAAUUCGAACUAAGUGGAAAGCAUUUACGGUUGUAGUGUAAUAGAAGGCAUAGAGAUGCAUUUUAAAGGAAAAAGAAAGCAGGUUAACAAACUGAAAGGGACUAGGUGGGUUGCAGAAGGUAUGUGUAAAAUGCAGAGGGUCUGUGCAAGUUAAAGAAGAAUUAGAGUUGAAGUAAGAAAGGUGAGAAGGGAUACAAAGAAAGGGAUAUAACAGGAAGAAAGGAUAUUAGAGUAGGAAUACUUAAGAAGGGAGUAGAAAAGAAGUUGUAUAGUUUUGGUAACAGGCAUGAGGUAGAGAGACAAAAAUGAAGAAAGGUUUGUGAAAGUUGUAGAAGGGUUGUAAAGCGAAAUCUUAAAAGGAAAUUAUAGGUAUACUGAAUAAUAAAUCUAAUUGGAUAAAUCUAAAAUAAACUAAUACAGAAUGUGGUUCUUUUCCUUAGCAUAAAGAAUUAUUGUAAUUUGUUUAUUAUCUUGUUGCUUUAUUCAAUGUAUGCCUCUCUUUUCUAGUGCAUGUCAAUUCAUCAGACUUAAAAGGGGUUAUUGCUGCAUAACAGGGGUAAAAUUAGUGGCACUACAGCAAUAUAAUAAAUUUAAAAAUAAAAUUUAGUAUAGUAUAAGGUUGAUAGAUAUCAACUUAUCUACCUAAUGAUGGGGGGGGGGGACUUAUAAUCUGACGAAGCACCUGAAUUAAUCUGAAAAAUCAUAUUAUUUUAAAUCUUAGAACACAUAUAUACUUAUGUGAAUCGGGGGUUAAGUUUUUCUCAAGUUUCCUUUUCAAGGCCCGUGCUAAGCGAUUACGGAGGUGACUCAGCUGUGAAUCCAGCAGGCAGAACCGAUAAGCAUGGUCAGACUGACCCACCAGGUGUCAAAGCAUCAACUCAUUGUGGACGAAAGGGGCCACAUGCGAGCCUGACAAGCUCAGGGAAGGUCUGCAUGGUGGUCUUGCAAACUCAAAGACCUAAAGUGACCACCAAGGAUGGUCUGAAUUUAAACUUUAACUGAAAGCAGUGAUGGUGGGUAGUCCUAGGCUGCUAUCCUCACUGACAAGGUCAGCUUUUACCUUAACUGAGCCUAUCUGUCUUUUUGCAUCUAUGGUAACACACCCUUGAAAUGUCUGGGUAACCUAUAACCUCUCUUUUUCUGGACCCCUUGGGGCACAACCUGAAGUGCCUGGGCACCAGGACAGAUACCACACAUUCCUUCCUUAGUAUCAUGUUACUUGUUGACUAUUGGCUAUCCUGCACCCACCUAUGUGCUAUCCAAUCCCAGAGGUUUCCCUGCUUUGCUUUCUCCCGCCUCUCUAAUCUAUCACCAAUGAAUUUCAUGUAACCCACCUGCAUCCCCUCC